RNAcentral lists this small RNA (29 nucleotides) under Bombyx mori (domestic silkworm). Its description in RNAcentral is "ovarian small RNA-15397". Lineage: Eukaryota; Metazoa; Arthropoda; Insecta; Lepidoptera; Bombycidae. The record is from RNAcentral.
GACAUUGAUCUUAUGGGCCUUAAGGGCCA